GUUGACCUCGGAUCAGGUAGGGAUACCCGCUGAACUUAAGCAUAUCAAUAAGCGGAGGAAAAGAAACCAACCGGGAUUGCCUCAGUAACGGCGAGUGAAGCGGCAAAAGCUCAAAUUUGAAAUCUGGCCCCUUCGGGGUCCGAGUUGUAAUUUGCAGAGGAUGCUUCGGGUGUGGCCCCUGUCUAAGUGCCCUGGAACGGGCCGUCAUAGAGGGUGAGAAUCCCGUAUGGGAUGGGGUGCCCACGCCCGUGUGAAGCUCCUUCGACGAGUCGAGUUGUUUGGGAAUGCAGCUCUAAAUGGGUGGUAAAUUUCAUCUAAAGCUAAAUACUGGCCGGAGACCGAUAGCGCACAAGUAGAGUGAUCGAAAGAUGAAAAGCACUUUGAAAAGAGAGUUAAACAGCACGUGAAAUUGUUGAAAGGGAAGCGCUUGCGACCAGACUCGCCCGCGGGGUUCAGCCGGCAUUCGUGCCGGUGUACUUCCCCGUGGGCGGGCCAGCGUCGGUUUGGGCGGCCGGUCAAAGGCCUCCGGAAUGUACCGCCUCUUCGGGGGCGACUUAUAGCCGGGGGUGCAAUGCGGCCUGCCUGGACCGAGGAACGCGCUUCGGCUCGGACGCUGGCAUAAUGGUCGUAAGCGACC
RNAcentral lists this ribosomal RNA (637 nucleotides) under Aspergillus brunneouniseriatus. Its description in RNAcentral is "eukaryotic LSU rRNA". It matches the Rfam family "Eukaryotic large subunit ribosomal RNA", at positions 1 to 649 of the family's 3401-position model. The record is from RNAcentral. Lineage: Eukaryota; Fungi; Ascomycota; Eurotiomycetes; Eurotiales; Aspergillaceae.